UUUUGGAACAAGAGGAGAGAUAGAAGGGAUUGAUGCGGGCCCUUGCAGGUGGAAAGCUGUGAAGACCGACAGAAUUGAGGGCAGCGAGGCAGCCAGGAGAAAAAGGAAAAUAAAAUAAGGGAAUCCAAGAGAGAAAAACGUGCAGGACUGAUGAAGUAAAUAAAAAAGAGAGGAAAUGGGCGCGGAAAAAAGGCAGCUGCCUUUGGGCAGCGCUAAGAAUAGAAUAGAAAAAUAAAAGGAAGGCUGUCUGGCAGCCUUGAUGAGCGUGGGAAUAAAAUAAGGAGGAAGUGAGGAGGUUAGGCGUGGAGAGAGAGAAGACUG
Molecule: long non-coding RNA, 321 nt
Filed under: Malus domestica (apple)
Lineage: Eukaryota; Viridiplantae; Streptophyta; Magnoliopsida; Rosales; Rosaceae
Description: long non-coding RNA (MDOM_LNC019430)
Source: RNAcentral